Molecule: ribosomal RNA, 320 nt
Filed under: uncultured eukaryote
Lineage: Eukaryota
Description: partial 18S ribosomal RNA
Rfam family: Eukaryotic small subunit ribosomal RNA
Source: RNAcentral
CCCCUAGAUGUUCUGGGCCGCACGCGCGCUACACUGAACAGUUCAACAAGUCUUAACCUUGGCCGAUAGGUCUGGGUAAUCUUUGAACGCUGUUCGUGAUUGGGAUAGACCUUUGCAAUUAUGGGUCUUCAACGAGGAAUUCCUAGUAAACGCAAGUCAUCAGCAUGCAUUGAUUACGUCCCUGCCCUUUGUACACACCGCCCGUCGCACCUACCGAUUGAAUGGUCCGGUGAAAUCUCGGGACGGCGGCUUGGUCGCUUGCGUCCGACUGCUGAAACUUGAUUAAACCAUAUCAUUUAGAGGAAGGUGAAGUCGUANCA